AGACGGGGGGGGCGAGCGUUGUUCGGAAUUACUGGGCGUAAAGGGCGCGUAGGCGGAAUGAUAAGUCAGAGGUGAAAACCCAGGGCUCAACCCCGGGCCUGCCUUUGAUACUGUCAUUCUUGAGUGCGAGAGAGGAAAGCGGAAUUCCCGGUGUAGCGGUGAAAUGCGUAGAUAUCGGGAAGAACACCGGUAGCGAAGGCGGCUUUCUGGCUCGCAACUGACGCUGAGGCGCGAAAGCGUGGGGAGCAAACAGGAUUAGAAACCCCAGUAGUCC
RNAcentral lists this ribosomal RNA (274 nucleotides) under uncultured bacterium. Its description in RNAcentral is "partial 16S ribosomal RNA". It matches the Rfam family "Bacterial small subunit ribosomal RNA", at positions 523 to 796 of the family's 1533-position model. The record is from RNAcentral.